This 679-nucleotide unclassified non-coding RNA is filed under the name uncultured Prochlorococcus sp. RNAcentral's name for it is "partial may contain 16S ribosomal RNA, 16S-23S ribosomal RNA intergenic spacer, and 23S ribosomal RNA". The stretch from base 1 to 98 matches the Rfam family "Bacterial small subunit ribosomal RNA", at positions 1437 to 1533 of the family's 1533-position model. The record is from RNAcentral. Lineage: Bacteria; Bacillati; Cyanobacteriota; Cyanophyceae; Synechococcales; Prochlorococcaceae.
AACCCUUGUGGAGGAGGACGCCGAAGGUGGGGCUAAUGACUGGGGUGAAGUCGUAACAAGGUAGCCGUACCGGAAGGUGCGGCUGGAUCACCUCCUAACAGGGAGACAACAAAAUGUUUAAUAUUAUUUUGUCACCUUAGGUCGAUCGGUAUCUCACGUUCUUAAUUUAUUAAGGAUUUCAUUUCCUAAGUUUUUCUAGGUCACACCCAUUAUUUUUCCUGGGCCAUUAGCUCAGGUGGUUAGAGCGCACCCCUGAUAAGGGUGAGGUCCCUGGUUCAAGUCCAGGAUGGCCCAUAUCUCUAUGUUGGGGGUAUAGCUCAGUUGGUAGAGCGCCUGCUUUGCAAGCAGGAUGUCAGCGGUUCGAGUCCGCUUACCUCCACUGAUUACCACCUCUUUCAUAAUCCGUAGAAAGGAAAUGUUUUGAGUCGUGAUCAAAUCCUGAACGAAUCUAGCUUCCUAAUGAAAUCAUUAAGAUGCUGGACUCAUUGAAUUAAUUUCAUUGUUUUCAGAGAACCUUGACAACUGCAUAGAUUAUUUUUAAAGACAAUAAGCAUCUUUAAUGAUGCAGAUUUAUUAUUUGUGCGAAUGCAUUAAUAACAAUUCUAUUGAGCUGAUGCUUCAAUUUUGAAGUUAUUGGUCAAGCUACAAAGGGCUCACGGAGGAUACCUAGGCACACAGA